Molecule: ribosomal RNA, 276 nt
Filed under: uncultured bacterium
Lineage: Bacteria
Description: partial 16S ribosomal RNA
Rfam family: Bacterial small subunit ribosomal RNA
Source: RNAcentral
CUACAAUGGCGUAAACAAAGGGAAGCGAGACGGUGACGUUGAGCAAAUCCCAGAAAUAACGUCCCAGUUCGGAUUGUAGUCUGCAACCCGACUACAUGAAGCUGGAAUCGCUAGUAAUCGCGAAUCAGAAUGUCGCGGUGAAUACGUUCCCGGGUCUUGUACACACCGCCCGUCACACCAUGGGAGUCGGAAAUGCCCGAAGUCAGUGACCCAACCGUAAGGAGGGAGCUGCCGAAGGUGGAGCCGGUAACUGGGGUGAAGUCGUAACAAGGUACC